RNAcentral lists this long non-coding RNA (219 nucleotides) under Homo sapiens (human). Its description in RNAcentral is "HSALNT0010031". The record is from RNAcentral. Lineage: Eukaryota; Metazoa; Chordata; Mammalia; Primates; Hominidae.
CCCACCCCUCCCGUCACCUUGCCUUCCCUCCCAUCACCACGCUCUCCGUCUCCCGUCUGCCGGUCCCUCCCUCGUUCCCUUUCGGAAAACCGAACUAUUUCCAACUUGUGAACUGCAGCUGCACUUCCCGGGGCAGAACCCGGGAGGGAACGAGGCUCCGGCGGGGCCGCCGCCUCCCCACUCCUCUCGGCUCUGUCCCGGGGCCCGGCGGGGGCUGGG